CCCUCUUCCGAUUCGGUUUAGUUCUUACUUGCUUUUGUGAUUAUGUUUGAGUUUUGUGAGUUUAUACACGAUUCGGAUCUGUUUGUUACUGUUUGUGGCCGUUUGUGAUGUUUGGAUGAUGAUGAUUUAUGUGUUAGUGUGGAGCGAUUCGAGGUUUGGUGAAAGGAUACGAAAAUGAUUGUUAAAAGAAUGGUUCACAUGAUUUUCGAAUUUGAAAUGUUCAUGAAGUUCAUGAUUUUUU
RNAcentral lists this long non-coding RNA (241 nucleotides) under Medicago truncatula (barrel medic). RNAcentral's name for it is "long non-coding RNA (MTRU_LNC005050)". Lineage: Eukaryota; Viridiplantae; Streptophyta; Magnoliopsida; Fabales; Fabaceae. The record is from RNAcentral.